Molecule: long non-coding RNA, 610 nt
Organism: Drosophila rhopaloa
Lineage: Eukaryota; Metazoa; Arthropoda; Insecta; Diptera; Drosophilidae
Exons: 2
Source: RefSeq, a predicted model, not a curated record
GUCUGCGUUCCACCACCGACUGAAUGGCAAGAGAGACCCACCGAAACGCCAGACCACCGCACCACCAGACCACCGAAUUAAGGCGAGACAACGGCAACCACAUCGAAAGCAGCAGAAGCGAGAGUCGUGCAACAUUUGCUCGAGCCAGGCCAACGACAAGCUGCAAUCGCUCAACCAGCCACUCAGUCAUUCAGUCAGUUAGUCAGUGAGUCAGGCGUUCAGUUCAGGCCAAGUUAAGUCGAGUCACUCAGCCAGUCGGCCCGUGGAGUUGCCAAUGUAAAUUAGGCACACUUACAAAAAUGAAAGCAAUGAAAAACAUAAUUUAUAUCAGUGCAGCCGGCGGGGGACAGAGGCAGCCAACUGUGGCAUGACUUCUCCGCGGUGGUGUCUGCACUUAAACGACUUCUCAGUGGGAAAUUGUUGUGCAACUCUGCCAGAUUUCAAAUAAAUAAGUCAACAAAUUGUGGCCCAUAAACAAGCCGAGCGGAAGUCGUCGAAAAGCCACGAAAUCGACAUUAUACAUGGAGGGAAAACAGUCAAAUAGAUUUACAUAAAGCAAUUGUAAGACUCGAAACUUGAAGGGCUGAAUAGAUGUUCUACCAAAGCGUGA